RNAcentral lists this ribosomal RNA (469 nucleotides) under uncultured bacterium. Its description in RNAcentral is "partial 16S ribosomal RNA". It matches the Rfam family "Bacterial small subunit ribosomal RNA", at positions 28 to 507 of the family's 1533-position model. The record is from RNAcentral.
GACGAACGCUGGCGGCGUGCUUAACACAUGCCAGUCGAACGGAAAGGCCCUGCUUGCAGGGUGCUCGAGUGGCGAACGGGUGAGUAACACGUGGGUGAUCUGCCCCUUACUUUGGGAUAAGCCUGGGAAACUGGGUCUAAUACUGGAUAGGACCAUGCUGUAGGUGGUGUGGUGGAAAGAUUAGUUUCGGUAAGGGAUGAGCUCGCGGCCUAUCAGCUUGUUGGUGGGGUAAUGGCCUACCAAGGCGUCGACGGGUAGCCGGCCUGAGAGGGUGGACGGCCACAGUGGGACUGAGAUACGGCACAGAAUCCUACGGGAGGCAGCAGUGGGGAAGAGUGCACAAUGGGCGCAAGCAUGAUGCAGCGACGCCGCGUGGGGGAUGACGGCCUUCGGGUUGUAAACUCCUUGCAGCCAUGACGAAGCCCUUGUGGUGACGGUAGUGGUAGAAGAAGCACCGGCUAACUACGUG